This 595-nucleotide long non-coding RNA is filed under the name Bos taurus (domestic cattle). RNAcentral describes it as "long non-coding RNA NONBTAT000948". Lineage: Eukaryota; Metazoa; Chordata; Mammalia; Artiodactyla; Bovidae. The record is from RNAcentral.
AAAGCCAAGUACAUAUGUGUGAAAGCAAAUUUUAGUAUGGUGUCUUUUGUUGACAAAGUUAAAUCAGAUAUUCGUAUUAAUGUGCUCCAUACAUAGGUAGUAUCUCACAAAAUUAAGAGCUCAAAGCUCAAGCUUCAAGUAUUAACUUUAUUGUUAAUGUAAGUUUCUGAUUUCAUUAAACUGUGGGAGGCUAUCACCCUGUCACCCUGUUUGGAAAAUAUAAACCAACGAAGGAAUACCAACAGUUAAUCAAGCAAAUGCAAAAUGUCAUAAACAUGUUCACUGCGCCCCUUUACACUUGCUUGGUUGACCUGAACCUCUCCUGGACAUACAUCCUGCCUUACUACACAAUACCACUUUACUGGAAAGGACCAUUCUUUUUGACAGAGCAUCUCAAUUUGGGUCUUAUUUGUCAGUUUACUCUCAGUUCCACAGGUCUGUCUGCAUAAUCAAGUUUCCAUGGAGCCCUGCACUGGAGAAAGAGGAAAGGCAAAACAAAACAAAAUUCAGAACUGGCCAAGGGAGCCUGGAAACUGCACAUUGCCAUGGUUUGUGUGAGAGAUGAUUAAAAACCAAAAGCCAAUGGCUACACUAU